This 468-nucleotide ribosomal RNA is filed under the name uncultured bacterium. Its description in RNAcentral is "partial 16S ribosomal RNA". It matches the Rfam family "Bacterial small subunit ribosomal RNA", at positions 28 to 507 of the family's 1533-position model. The record is from RNAcentral.
GACGAACGCUGGCGGCGUGCUUAACACAUGCAAGUCGAACGGAAAGGCCCUGCUUUUGUGGGGUGCUCGAGUGGCGAACGGGUGAGUAACACGUGAGUAACCUGCCCUUGACUUUGGGAUAACUUCAGGAAACUGGGGCUAAUACCGGAUAGGAGCUCCUGCUGCAUGGUGGGGGUUGGAAAGUUUCGGCGGUUGGGGAUGGACUCGCGGCUUAUCAGCUUGUUGGUGGGGUAGUGGCUUACCAAGGCUUUGACGGGUAGCCGGCCUGAGAGGGUGACCGGCCUCAUUGGGACUGAGAUAGGGCCCAGACUCCUACGGGAGGCAGCAGUGGGGAAUAUUGCACAAUGGGCGGAAGCCUGAUGCAGCAACGCCGCGUGCGUGAUGACGGCCUUCGGGUUGUAAACCGCUUUCGCCUGUGACGAAGCGUGAGUGACGGUAAUGGGUAAAGAAGCACCGGCUAACUACGUG